GAUGAACGCUGGCGGCGUGCUUAACACAUGCAAGUCGGACGGGAAUUAUUUUAUUGAAACUUCGGUCGAUUUAAUUUAAUUCUAGUGGCGGACGGGUGAGUAACGCGUGGGUAACCUGCCUUAUACAGGGGGAUAACAGUCAGAAAUGGCUGCUAAUACCGCAUAAGCGCACAGAGCUGCAUGGCUCAGUGUGAAAAACUCCGGUGGUAUAAGAUGGACCCGCGUUGGAUUAGCUGGUUGGUGGGGUAACGGCCCACCAAGGCGACGAUCCAUAGCCGGCCUGAGAGGGUGAACGGCCACAUUGGGACUGAGACACGGCCCAGACUCCUACGGGAGGCAGCAGUGGGGAAUAUUGCACAAUGGGGGAAACCCUGAUGCAGCGACGCCGCGUGAGGGAAGAAGUAUCUCGGUAUGUAAACUUCUAUCAGCAGGGAAGAUAGUGACGGUACCUGACUAAGAAGCCCCGGCUAACUACGUG
RNAcentral lists this ribosomal RNA (478 nucleotides) under uncultured bacterium. Its description in RNAcentral is "partial 16S ribosomal RNA". It matches the Rfam family "Bacterial small subunit ribosomal RNA", at positions 28 to 507 of the family's 1533-position model. The record is from RNAcentral.